RNAcentral lists this ribosomal RNA (253 nucleotides) under uncultured bacterium. RNAcentral describes it as "partial 16S ribosomal RNA". It matches the Rfam family "Bacterial small subunit ribosomal RNA", at positions 524 to 776 of the family's 1533-position model. The record is from RNAcentral.
UACGUAGGGGGCAAGCGUUGUCCGGAUUUAUUGGGCGUAAAGAGCGUGUAGGCGGUUUGGUAGGUCCGCUGUGAAAACUCGAGCUCAACCUCGAGACGCCGGUGGAAACCAUCAGACUAGAGUCCGGAAGAGGAGAGUGGAAUUCCUGGUGUAGCGGUGAAAUGCGCAGAUAUCAGGAAGAACACCCGUGGCUAAGGCGGCUCUCUAGUACGGUACUGGACGCUGAGACGCGAAAGCGUGGGGAGCGAACAGG